GAUGAACGCUGGCGGCGUGCCUAAUACAUGCAAGUCGCGCGAACAGACGAGAGUGCUUGCACUCUCUGACGUUAGCGGCGGACGGGUGAGUAACACGUGGGUAACCUACCUAUAAGACUGGGAUAACUUCGGGAAACCGGAGCUAAUACCGGAUAAUAUUUAGCUUCGCAUGAAGCAAUAGUGAAAGACGGUUCUGCUGUCACUUAUAGAUGGACCCGCGGUGUAUUAGCUAGUUGGUGAGGUAACGGCUCACCAAGGCAACGAUACAUAGCCGACCUGAGAGGGUGAUCGGCCACACUGGGACUGAGACACGGCCCAGACUCCUACGGGAGGCAGCAGUAGGGAAUCUUCCGCAAUGGACGAAAGUCUGACGGAGCAAUGCCGCGUGAGUGAAGAAGGUUUUCGGAUCGUAAAACUCUGUUGUAAGGGAAGAACAAGUACGUUAGUAACUGAACGUACCUUGACGGUACCUUACCAGAAAGCCACGGCUAACUACGUG
This 499-nucleotide ribosomal RNA is filed under the name uncultured bacterium. RNAcentral describes it as "partial 16S ribosomal RNA". It matches the Rfam family "Bacterial small subunit ribosomal RNA", at positions 28 to 507 of the family's 1533-position model. The record is from RNAcentral.